Molecule: regulatory RNA element, 85 nt
Organism: Acidomonas methanolica NBRC 104435
Lineage: Bacteria; Pseudomonadati; Pseudomonadota; Alphaproteobacteria; Acetobacterales; Acetobacteraceae
Rfam family: Fluoride riboswitch aptamer (crcB RNA motif)
Source: Rfam
AUUCAGCAAGGCAAUGGAUUCUGCCUGAUGGCCUGAUGGCGAUCGAACCGCUUCCGCGACGGAGGCUGAUGAUUCCUACCCGACG